Magnolia sinica is the source of this 983-nucleotide long non-coding RNA. RefSeq lists it as uncharacterized. The transcript has 2 exons. NCBI's taxonomy places the organism in Eukaryota, Viridiplantae, Streptophyta, Magnoliopsida, Magnoliales, Magnoliaceae. The record is from RefSeq and is a predicted model, not a curated record.
UGGGAAAUUGGUCGAAUCACCCGAUGUUUCCAAUACCUCCAAUAUUUCCCAUGCGAUACCCAAUACGUUUUCAUAUCCUAAGAGUGUGAUGUGUUCGUCAAUGCCAAUAUUGAAAACAUUACCUCCAUCCACAUCCUUUGGGCCUUCUCCUUACCCUUUUAGAGCCUUCACCAGUCUUCGUCUUGUACCACCCACUCCUAACUGGCACAAUUCUUGGUUUUAGUUGCCCAUGACCUAACCAUCUAAGUCUAUUUUCCCUCAUCUUAUUACAUAUUGGUGCUACUCCUAAGUUCUCUCAAAUGUAUUCAUUUCUAAUAUGAACGCGCCAUUCCUUAACUGCCCAACAUUUUAUCCAAUAAAGCAUGGGUGGUCUUAUAACUAUCCUAUAAAAUUUCCCUUUCAGUUUGAGUUGAACAUGACGAACACGUAAAGUUCCAAAGACACAUCUUGAUUUCUUCCACCCAACUUGAAUUGUAUGGGCAACAUCCUUGUCAAUCUUUCCACUUUCAUGAAUUAUUGACCCAAGCUAUCGAAAGUGAUCCUUUUGGGAAACUUCUUGGUCAACAAUCUUUGCGAGAUGAUUCUCCCGAAUACUUGUCUAAUGUCUUAUCAAAAUGAGGAAUCAGUGGAUCAUUUAGUUAUCCAUUGUUCAUUCGCAAGGAAGUAUUGGAAGGUUUUUUUCGAGCUAUUCGGUAUAGAUGGGUAUUGCCAUGUUCCAUUGCUCAAUUCUUCUUGUAGCAUGGUGUUGAUUUUGGAAAGAGACAAAAAAAGGAAUAAUUGUAGCUUUAGGAAUUGGGCAGGGCGAGCUUUUGAGGGUUUUAGUAGGGCUAAAAUGAAUGUGAGGUAAUGGGCUAUAGCCUCCAAGGCAGUAGUUCAUUUUCCGGAUAGUUAGCUUGAGUUGUAUCUUUUCUUUGGUUUGUGUAUAUUCAUAAUGUUUUGCUUCCGCUGUUGUUAAUAAAAUUUUGCCAAAGUUUUUUUUUUUU